RNAcentral lists this ribosomal RNA (467 nucleotides) under uncultured bacterium. RNAcentral describes it as "partial 16S ribosomal RNA". It matches the Rfam family "Bacterial small subunit ribosomal RNA", at positions 28 to 506 of the family's 1533-position model. The record is from RNAcentral.
GACGAACGCUGGCGGCGUGCUUAACACAUGCAAGUCGAACGGAAAGGCCCUGCUUUUGUGGGGUGCUCGAGUGGCGAACGGGUGAGUAACACGUGAGUAACCUGCCCUUGACUUUGGGAUAACUUCAGGAAACUGGGGCUAAUACCGGAUAGGAGCUCCUGCUGCAUGGUGGGGGUUGGAAAGUUUCGGCGGUUGGGGAUGGACUCGCGGCUUAUCAGCUUGUUGGUGGGGUAGUGGCUUACCAAGGCUUUGACGGGUAGCCGGCCUGAGAGGGUGACCGGCCACAUUGGGACCGAGAUACGGCCCAGACUCCUACGGGAGGCAGCAGUGGGGAAUAUUGCACAAUGGGCGGAAGCCUGAUGCAGCAACGCCGCGUGCGGGAUGACGGCCUUCGGGUUGUAAACCGCUUUCGCCUGUGACGAAGCGUGAGUGACGGUAAUGGGUAAAGAAGCACCGGCUAACUACGU